AGUGAACGCUGGCGGUAGGCCUAACACAUGCAAGUCGAACGGCAGCACAGUAAGAGCUUGCUCUUACGGGUGGCGAGUGGCGGACGGGUGAGGAAUACAUCGGCAUCUACUUUUUCGUGGGGGAUAACGUAGGGAAACUUACGCUAAUACCGCAUACGACCUACGGGUGAAAGCAGGGGAUCUUCGGACCUUGCGCGAUUGAAUGAGCCGAUGUCGGAUUAGCUAGUUGGCGGGGUAAAGGCCCACCAAGGCGACGAUCCGUAGCUGGUCUGAGAGGAUGAUCAGGCACACUGGAACUGAGACACGGUCCAGACUCCUACGGGAGGCAGCAGUGGGGAAUAUUGGACAAUGGGCGCAAGCCUGAUCCAGCCAUACCGCGUGGGUGAAGAAGGCCUUCGGGUUGGAAAGCCCUUUUGUUGGGAAAGAAAAGCAGCAGGUUAAUACCCCGCUGUUCUGACGGUACCCAAAGAAUAAGCACCGGCUAACUUCGUU
This 492-nucleotide ribosomal RNA is filed under the name uncultured bacterium. RNAcentral describes it as "partial 16S ribosomal RNA". It matches the Rfam family "Bacterial small subunit ribosomal RNA", at positions 29 to 507 of the family's 1533-position model. The record is from RNAcentral.